This 248-nucleotide long non-coding RNA is filed under the name Durio zibethinus. RNAcentral's name for it is "long non-coding RNA (DZIB_LNC000195)". The record is from RNAcentral. Lineage: Eukaryota; Viridiplantae; Streptophyta; Magnoliopsida; Malvales; Malvaceae.
AGAACCGACCAGCCUCCUCCAUUACCGCCACCGCGUCUCACCACCGUCCAACGUCGUACCCUCCCUAAAUUUUCACCAUAGCUUCACCUUGAAUUCCUCGUUCAUGUUGUAGCCUCAGAUUUUCGAGAAUCGGCCCCUACAAUCCUAGAUUUGAAGUAAUAGCUGACGGCUUCAACCCCUUUUUUCUGCUGUUCUCCAUUGUCCGAUUUGGCUAGGCUUUUACUAAGUUGUUGCUUUUGUUCACCUCU